GCCAACAGCCAUAUCACCCUGCAAUUCAAAACUGGCAACCCACUAAAGCUCAGCAGGUGUGAGCCUGGUCAGUACCUGGAUAGGAGACCUUCUGGGAAAAGCUAAGGUUGCUGCUGGAA
This 119-nucleotide ribosomal RNA is filed under the name Lepisosteus oculatus (spotted gar). The record is from RNAcentral. Lineage: Eukaryota; Metazoa; Chordata; Actinopteri; Semionotiformes; Lepisosteidae.